This is a transfer RNA of Prevotella sp. CAG:1058, 73 nucleotides long. It matches the Rfam family "tRNA". From Rfam's summary of the family: Transfer RNA (tRNA) molecules are approximately 80 nucleotides in length. Their secondary structure includes four short double-helical elements and three loops (D, anti-codon, and T loops). Further hydrogen bonds mediate the characteristic L-shaped molecular structure. tRNAs have two regions of fundamental functional importance: the anti-codon, which is responsible for specific mRNA codon recognition, and the 3' end, to which the tRNAs corresponding amino acid is attached (by aminoacyl-tRNA synthetases). tRNAs cope with the degeneracy of the genetic code in two manners: having more than one tRNA (with a specific anti-codon) for a particular amino acid; and 'wobble' base-pairing, i.e. permitting non-standard base-pairing at the 3rd anti-codon position. NCBI's taxonomy places the organism in Bacteria, Pseudomonadati, Bacteroidota, Bacteroidia, Bacteroidales, Prevotellaceae. The record is from Rfam.
CGGGAUUUAGCGCAGUUGGUAGCGCACUACGUUCGGGACGUAGGGGUCGCUGGUUCGAGUCCAGUAAUCCCGA